RNAcentral lists this unclassified non-coding RNA (267 nucleotides) under uncultured Hypocreales. RNAcentral's name for it is "sequence contains 5.8S rRNA gene, ITS2, 28S rRNA gene". Lineage: Eukaryota; Fungi; Ascomycota; Sordariomycetes; Hypocreales. The record is from RNAcentral.
AACGCACAUUGCGCCCGCCAGCAUUCUGGCGGGCAUGCCUGUUCGAGCGUCAUUUCAACCCUCAAGCCCCCCCGGGGGCCUGGUGUUGGGGACCGGCCCCGCCCCGUCGCGGGUCGCCGCCCCCUAAAUUCAGUGGCGGUCCUGCCGCAGCCUCCUCUGCGUAGUAGCUUUUGAAACCUCGCACCGGAGAGCGGCUCGGCCACGCCGUUAAACCCCAACUUUCUAGAGUUUGACCUCGGAUCAGGUAGGAAUACCCGCUGAACUUAA